Molecule: ribosomal RNA, 761 nt
Filed under: Prevotella melaninogenica
Lineage: Bacteria; Pseudomonadati; Bacteroidota; Bacteroidia; Bacteroidales; Prevotellaceae
Description: bacterial SSU rRNA
Rfam family: Bacterial small subunit ribosomal RNA
Source: RNAcentral
GAUGAACGCUAGCUACAGGCUUAACACAUGCAAGUCGAGGGGAAACGGCAUUUAGUGCUUGCACUGAAUGGACGUCGACCGGCGCACGGGUGAGUAACGCGUAUCCAACCUUCCCAUUACUGUGGGAUAACCUGCCGAAAGGCAGACUAAUACCGCAUAGUCUUCGAUGACGGCAUCAGAUUUGAAGUAAAGAUUUAUCGGUAAUGGAUGGGGAUGCGUCUGAUUAGCUUGUUGGCGGGGUAACGGCCCACCAAGGCAACGAUCAGUAGGGGUUCUGAGAGGAAGGUCCCCCACAUUGGAACUGAGACACGGUCCAAACUCCUACGGGAGGCAGCAGUGAGGAAUAUUGGUCAAUGGACGAGAGUCUGAACCAGCCAAGUAGCGUGCAGGAUGACGGCCCUAUGGGUUGUAAACUGCUUUUGUAUGGGGAUAAAGUCAAUCACGUGUGAUUGUUUGCAGGUACCAUACGAAUAAGGACCGGCUAAUUCCGUGCCAGCAGCCGCGGUAAUACGGAAGGUCCGGGCGUUAUCCGGAUUUAUUGGGUUUAAAGGGAGCGUAGGCCGGAGAUUAAGUGUGUUGUGAAAUGUAGACGCUCAACGUCUGACUUGCAGCGCAUACUGGUUUCCUCGAGUACGCACAACGUUGGCGGAAUUCGUCGUGUAGCGGUGAAAUGCUUAGAUAUGACGAAGAACUCCGAUUGCGAAGGCAGCUGACGGGAGCGCAACUGACGCUUAAGCUCGAAGGUGCGGGUAUCGAACAGG